RNAcentral lists this unclassified non-coding RNA (3177 nucleotides) under Acromyrmex echinatior (Panamanian leafcutter ant). RNAcentral's name for it is "s1 RNA-binding domain-containing protein 1, transcript variant X1". The record is from RNAcentral. Lineage: Eukaryota; Metazoa; Arthropoda; Insecta; Hymenoptera; Formicidae.
AGUCACAUUAAAUAAUAAUUAAUAUUAUCAAAUUAAUGUAAUCUAAUCUGGUUUUAACAUGGAAGACAUUCCUUCUUCUAAAACCAAUUCUACUAGAGAACAUUGUGCCAAGACAUAUCAGAAUAAAUACUUUACAGCUUGGACUUCAGGAAUAAAGCUUUAAAAGUAUCGUGGAUGUAUUCGAGUAUUUAUAUAUUUAUACUAAUUAGAAAUCUUAAUAGUACGAUUGAAAUGUAGCCAUAUAUUUAUAAAGCAUAGUGUUGCAAUUAUAAAAAGAGUAAACGAGAUAUUUGUAUCUGCCUUAUUUGUACGUGGUUUUGUGAGGAAAUUGUUUUAUUAAUUUGACAGAUAAAAAAACGCCGAAAAAAAAUGAAAAGAAAUUUACGAAGUAAUUAUAAUGAACCAGUAAUUGAACUGUCAGAUUCCGAUGAUAAUGAUUAUAAAAUAUUUAAAAAAUCUGAAGAUGAGGACUAUGUAAUGGAACAAAAUAAAAGAAAAAAGGAAAUUAAAAAAGGAAUUAUAGGUAAGAAACAGCCAACUAAGAAAGAAGUGAAGAAAAAUACACAGAGCAAAGAUGUUAAAUCUAUUAAAAGAAAAAAUCAAGAAGGAAACUUGGAGACUUCUAGCAACAAGAGACCGAAGCUAGAAGACUCGUACAUUGAGUCUACUGAUGCAGGAGUGUCUCAAAAAAUUCAGAAAAAUUCAGCCAGAAUUUAUGUAAAGGAAGAUGUGAAACUCAAUGAAAAAUUUAACUUCAGCUUAUCGCAAUGCACGGAAUGGACCGAUAUUGAUUAUAUAAGCGAAGUCAACAAUGUAACUAGAUAUAUUGCAGAGAAUGUAGUGAAGCUUUUCAAGGAAGACAACACUAUACCUUUUAUUGCAAGAUAUAGAAAGAACAUGACUGGAUCUAUGGAUGCAGAUAAAUUGAGGGAACUUCUAGAGAGUUUUGAGCAGGCGAAGAUUAUUAAACAACGUGCUGCAACCAUUAUUAAGAACAUUGAUAAAUUGGGCAAAUGGUCGCCGGAGCUUCACUCUGUUAUCACAUCUACAAAGUCUCUUGCCGAUCUCGAAGAUAUUUAUUCUUUAUAUAAACCUUCGACAUCGAGACGACUUCUGGCAGAUAAAGCGCGAGGAUUGGGCCUGGGAAGUAUCAGCGAUGCAGUUUUACAGGGACAGGAUAUACCACCAUUGACAUCUUUAAUAGAUGAACAAAAGGAAGGUUUGCGAAAUGAACAAGAAAUCAGAAGCGGUAUCGUGUAUAUAAUAGCGGAUGCCAUCAGUAAAGAUAAGAACAUUUUCGACAAAGUCAACUCUCUACGGAAAACCUCGGUUAUAGAUAUACAAACGACGCAGUGUAAAACAACAGAAGAUUCGAAAAACGCAAACGAGCAGAAGUAUGAACAAUACUUCAAUUUUAAGUCAAGGGUGAAUGCCAUUAAGCCUCAUCAUAUACUGGCUAUUAAUCGGGCUGAAUCUCAAAAGAUCAUCAGCGUGAAGAUUGUCGUCCCCGACGCUUUCGAGGAUGCGUUCCGCAACUAUUGCUUAUGGCAAUAUACACAAGAGAGAAGAAGUAGCGCGAAAAUGUCCCAUUUGACUUUACUCAAUGAUAGCAUCGAUUACGCUUAUAAAAAAUCAAUCAAGCCUCAGAUGGUACGUCGUAUAAGGAGCGAGUUGAAGGAAAACGCGGAAAAAGCGUCCAUAGAAGUUUUCACGACUAAUGUUAAACAACUGCUUCUCACUCCUCCAGUGCGAGGUAAAAUUGUUCUCGGUAUAGACCCGGGUUACCGUCACGGAUGUAAACUUGCCGUUGUAUCGGAACAGGGCGAUCUCCUCGAGACCGCUGUGAUAUAUCCUCACAACCAUUCGUCGGCAUUUAAAGAUGCGGCUAACACGUUGGCGAAAUUAGUGAACAAGUACAGAUGCACGAUAAUAGCUCUGGGAAAUGCUACAGCGUGCAGAGAGACCGAGCUGUUUCUGACUAAAGCAAUAGAGUCGAACGUGUUUGGCUCGCUAAACGCGAUGUUCACCAUCGUUGACGAAUGCGGAGCCUCGAUUUAUAGUUGUAGCCCGCAGGCGAAAUCCGAGUUUCCGGAUCUGGAUCCGAAUCUAGUGUCGGCUAUUUCGAUAGCAAGACGCUUGCAGGACCCAUUGGCGGAAUUAGUUAAGAUAGAGCCGAAGCAUUUAGGAGUUGGGAUGUAUCAACAUGAUCUACCUCAAACGAAACUGACGAAGUCGCUAUCCGAAGUUGUCACAGAGGUUGUGAGUUUUGUAGGAGUGGAUAUUAAUACAGCUUCUCAUUAUCUUUUACAACAAGUAGCCGGCCUUACGGUUUCUAGAUCUAAAAGCAUCAUAGAAUGGCGAUCAAAAAAUGGACCAUUUAGAAAUAGAGAGCAAUUAUUGAAAGUAAAGAGUAUUGGUAGCAAAACGUUUGAACAGUGCGCAGGGUUUAUAAGAAUUCUGCCAGAGACAGCAAAGAUUAGCGAAACUUCAUCACAACAGAGCAAGAAAUCGGAGAACGAUUUUAAUCCUUUAGAUCAAACUUGGAUCCAUCCGGAAUCGUACGCGAUAGCGAAUAAAUUCGUAAAACACUGCCAAUGCAAAUUGGACGAUAUCGGUACUCCGGCAUUUAUUGGAAAGAUAAAUUUUCACGCGAGAACUGGAUGUGGAAAUCUAGCCGCGCAGUUUGGCACCGAUGAGACUACAAUGGAGACGAUAGUUAAAGCUUUGACCAUGCAGAAAGACGAGGAUAUACGAUCGAAAUUGAAUCAGCCGCUGUUUCGUAACAGUGUGCGAUGUAUUGAAGAUUUGAUCGUCGGAACCAUAUUAAGCGGCGUCGUGCGGAACGUCACGCAUUUUGGAGCAUUUGUAGACGUGGGCGUUGGUAAGGAGGGUCUUAUACACGUCAGCCGUAUGAAGAAGGAUCUCCAUAUAGGCCAACGUGUGGAAGUGAAGGAUUCUUCCACCGGAGCAUCAUAUUCGAUGGGUUUGGCGCUUGGAAUAUUCUCCGGAGAUCCCUUUCAUUGCUGGGAGAACGAGGAGAUCAGAUGCAUCAUAAAGUAGAGCGUUCCGACUAAACAAUUGUACUCUGCAUUUGUCGCGCAUAAAUCCAAGAGCACAAGAAGCGUCAUUACACGUAAGUGUUACGAUGGGAUAAAACGAUGUAGACGCAGGAGGUGG